UUUUACCUUGUUUUUCAAUGAGGGACUGAUGUUGAUAAACCAAUAUUUUCUGCUAGUCAUGUGGGGUGAAUAACAUGAGUCGAGAUACCAUUGAUCUUUGAAUAUUUUUAUUCUUUUGUUGUGACCAUUAGCAUCACUUCGUCUUCUUUUGCAAGCUUUGCAUCACUUUCUUUAUCUUUCUUGCCUCCUUAACAUUAACUUGCAUAAUGGCCAUACUUUUGAAUAUUGUAGCAUUGAAUAUGACUUUUAUCA
RNAcentral lists this long non-coding RNA (252 nucleotides) under Lathyrus oleraceus (garden pea). RNAcentral's name for it is "Pisum sativum (pea) long non-coding RNA (PSAT_LNC014232)". Lineage: Eukaryota; Viridiplantae; Streptophyta; Magnoliopsida; Fabales; Fabaceae. The record is from RNAcentral.